UUAUGACCCUGCCCUUUGUACACACCGCCCGUCGCUGCCCGGGACUGAGCCAUUUCGAGAAAUUUGGGGACCGUUGAUUUAAUUUUUUUAAAUUACUUUGAUGGAAACCAAUUUAAUCGCAGUGGCUUGAACCGGGCAAAAGUCGUAACAAGGUAGCUGUAGGUGAACCUGCUGCUGGAUCAUUA
This 185-nucleotide ribosomal RNA is filed under the name Meloidogyne naasi. RNAcentral describes it as "partial 18S ribosomal RNA". It matches the Rfam family "Eukaryotic small subunit ribosomal RNA", at positions 1645 to 1831 of the family's 1831-position model. Lineage: Eukaryota; Metazoa; Nematoda; Chromadorea; Rhabditida; Meloidogynidae. The record is from RNAcentral.